GCUUCCUUGGCUCAGUCGGUAGAGCGUAGGUCUCAUAAUCCUAAGGUCGUGAGUUCGAUCCUCACAGGGAGCA
RNAcentral lists this transfer RNA (73 nucleotides) under Phanerochaete sordida. RNAcentral describes it as "tRNA-Met". It matches the Rfam family "tRNA". From Rfam's summary of the family: Transfer RNA (tRNA) molecules are approximately 80 nucleotides in length. RNAcentral also lists the same sequence under 1 other name. The record is from RNAcentral. Lineage: Eukaryota; Fungi; Basidiomycota; Agaricomycetes; Polyporales; Phanerochaetaceae.